This 172-nucleotide microRNA precursor is filed under the name Drosophila guanche. Lineage: Eukaryota; Metazoa; Arthropoda; Insecta; Diptera; Drosophilidae. The record is from RNAcentral.
UGUGUGUGUGUGUGUGUGUGUGUGUGGGUGUGGUACUUGAAAUAUUUAAACGAUAAAGUACAUCAAGUCACAAUUUGUGUCUGUCUGUGUGCGUCUAUGUUUGCUUGUGCCUAAUAGAACCCAAGUGACAAAGGCAUCCAAACACACACACACACACACACACACGCACACU